This is a long non-coding RNA of Onychostoma macrolepis, 520 nucleotides long. RefSeq lists it as uncharacterized. The transcript is spliced from 3 exons. The record is from RefSeq and is a predicted model, not a curated record. Lineage: Eukaryota; Metazoa; Chordata; Actinopteri; Cypriniformes; Cyprinidae.
ACACGGCCGUGCCUCACCUUCUCACAGUGUGGACAUUCACACAGCGGCGUCUGGACGUUGCUGAGCUGAUGGUGACUGAGUAAAGCCUGAAUCAGACGCUCCAGCUCGCUCUUUCUCUCCACCGCAGCAGAGCAUGAUAGUGGAUGAAGGCCAGGGUUCGGGUUCAGCUCCAGCUCCAUCAGUGCUGUUAUGGGUUCGGCUGCUCUCAGUGGAUGUGCAGGGCAGCAGCUCCAGAGCCGCAGAGCGACUGCUGGACGUCCAUCCAUCAUGAUGCUGAUGCUGAGAGUGGGUGGAGCGUGUGGAGUGAUGCCCCGCCCUCUUACUUUUCACCAGAAACGAUCGUGGCAUUUCAAAAGCGGGACUGAAGCCACGACAGAUGAGCAGUAGCUGUAUGUCUGUUGGCGUCAGACUCACCCACGGGCGUCCGGCGGCGGGCGGCGGGCGAUGCAGAUGCGUCUGGUUGUGAGAGUUGUGAUUCGGUUCUGAAGCUGCUACAGGAAGUACGAGAGUUUUCUGAUGU